Nicotiana tabacum (common tobacco) is the source of this 2180-nucleotide non-coding RNA. The record is from RefSeq and is a predicted model, not a curated record. Lineage: Eukaryota; Viridiplantae; Streptophyta; Magnoliopsida; Solanales; Solanaceae.
CCAUUCUCAUCAUCCCUAUUCAAAUCUCAGAAUCCAAAACCCUAGCUUCAAACAUUAAAGUAAUAAAGCCUCAUCAUCAUGCCUUAUUUCGUUUAAAUCUUCCAUUAGAUUCGGAGGAAUCUUGACCUCAUCGUGACAUAUGAUGAUCCAUAGGUCAAACGCAGUGAAUAGGUAAAAUCCCUACCCCGGUAGUCCGACGAUCUCAACGGCUAAUUUGGUAGAUAUUUUUGAAUAGGUAAAAUCCCUACCCCGAUUUCCCCUCUAAUUUUUCACUUUUCCCCUUUUGAUUUCGUCAGUGUUCAUCAUCAUCAUCUUUCACUGAUUUUUCAAAUUUGAAUGAAACCCCUAAGGUCUCAAUCUUAGCUAUAAAUACUGGGCUUUAAUGCCCUCACCAACACACACAACUAUCAUAAAAAUCUUAGUAAUUUCUCAUAUCCUAUUUUCUUUAAGUAUUCAAUGAAUCCCUCUAAACUUCUUUUUUUUUUCUAUAUGAGUUAAAAUGCUAAAUAUUUAUGGUGAGUACUGCACCUUAAACGGCUAAGCAUAGCUACUUGGUUUGCUGCUCCAAAUAAGGUCAGCAGAGUUUUACGUUAAUCAAUUAGAUUUGUCAUAUAGUUCUCUCAUGUUGUUUUCAUUUGAUUAUCUAAUAUUUUCUGUUGAUCGUCUGCCUACUCCCCUUCAUGAUAUUCGUUAGUCAAGCAUGUUACUUUAAUCUAUGUUCUGCCACUUUUAUUGGUUUCCAAUUGACUAAUUGACGUUUUCCGUUAAUAAUUAUGUUUUUCUCCUAUGUUAUUUGUUUAAACAAAAUAUAUUUUGGUGAAAUCCUAUUUUGGAUCAAACUUGAAUACUGGUCCUCAUAUGUUUAGUAAUCCUAUUUUGGAUUGGUGAAAUCACGCAUGCUGCUUCUACUGAUUGUUAUGGUUGUAGAUACCAUGCUUGUAGCUUUGACCUUAAUAUUAAAACCUGAUUAUUUUGUUCUGAUUAAUAGCUUUGUUAUCUUUUCUGAUUGGCCUAACUUUGGUGGAGUUAGUUACAGGUCUAAAGUAAUUAAUCUAGACUGCUUAAUGUCCAUUGGAGUUUAAUCAUGAUUUGUUUCUCUUGGUUGGUGUAUCUUUUUAUCUUUAAAUGACUGCCCUAAGCUGUUUAAUUUCUUCAAGGUUUCUAGCAUAAAUGUCAUAGACUCGCUGAUUGUAAAAAGGUAUAUGUUGUUAUUGUUGUAGCCUUAUGAAAUAGUAGACCUAUGAUGAAAACUCAGUAAGUGAAUGUAUGUGUUUGUUUUUUGCUAACUCCAGCUGAUGCCUUAAACCACCUAGAGUGACAUUCUAGAAAUUAAAGUUAUCUAUAACAUAGCAAGUAUGCUCAUAUUAUGUUUGGAGCAAUGAUCCCCAAGAACGUUGUAUAGAUGUUAUAACAUGUGGAAUGGUUCUGAUUUGACUUUUAAACCUUUGAAACUACUAGGAACUUUGAGAGCUUAUAUGUUGUGAUAUGUCCCUACAUCACACAUUUUGAUAGUGAUCACUUACUAAAGAUUGUUUCAAACUAAGUCAUGUGUUAGUCCCUGAUCAUUUAUGGUAUUUUACUAAAGUGAUUGUUUCAAUUCGUAGAAUAAUUGUUUGCUAACAAGUCUUGUAUUGUCCUGAAAUUAUUUGUACCUUUGUUUGACUAAAUUCUUGAAAUAUAUCAUGCUUAGAUGAAUUAAGGUAUCAUAUUAGACCUUCUAUGUUAUUGAUAGUUUGUCUCAUGUUGAAUGUAUGGGGCUGCCUGGCUAACCUAUUUGGUUAAGUGCUAAGUCAUGGUUCUUGAGUCUAAACCCCAAUUACAAGGUUCAAUAGCUGCGGUAUUUGACGUGGACUUAAUUUUACUAUCAAAGGACCCUUCCCUUACACAAACACUGCUCGAGGUCCAAGAGAUCCUUGUGAAAUCUGAAGUGUCAGGGUCCAUGAAGGGAACCUUGUACUAAGACAUGUAUAUUUGGUGGUCAUCUACGCGCGUAGGCGCAGUUGCUUAGGAGACUUUGUGGUGAGCUGCUCUCUAUGUUACGAUAUGCAACACACGGAGAACUUGUCUUACUCAUUUACUAUAUUAUGUCUAUUUUCUAAUCCAAACAGUUGUUAUAGUGGUAUUGUACACUCUAUUAGAUGCGCAUGUACUUGUAACACCGAGUUUUGGGGUUUAGACUA